RNAcentral lists this ribosomal RNA (496 nucleotides) under uncultured Bacillota bacterium. Its description in RNAcentral is "bacterial SSU rRNA". It matches the Rfam family "Bacterial small subunit ribosomal RNA", at positions 408 to 896 of the family's 1533-position model. Lineage: Bacteria; Bacillati; Bacillota. The record is from RNAcentral.
AUGAAGGCCUUUGGGUUGUAAAACUCUGUCUUCUGUGACGAACAAGCCUGUGAGUAAAAUGCUCAGGCCCUGACGGUAACAGAGGAGGAAGCCACGGCUAACUACGUGCCAGCAGCCGCGGUAAUACGUAGGUGGCAAGCGUUGUCCGGAAUCACUGGGCGUAAAGCGCGCGCAGGCGGCGAUCUACGUCUAGGGUGAAAGCCCGGAGCUCAACUCCGGGACUGCCUUGGAUACGGGAUCGCUUGAGAAUUGGAGAGGCAAGGGGAAUUCCACGUGUAGCGGUGAAAUGCGUAGAUAUGUGGAGGAACACCUGUGGCGAAGGCGCCUUGCUGGCCAAUUUCUGACGCUGAGGCGCGAAAGCGUGGGGAGCAAACAGGAUUAGAUACCCUGGUAGUCCACGCCGUAAACGAUGAGUGCUAGGUGUUGGGGGGUACCACCCUCAGUGCCGAAGCUAACGCAUUAAGCACUCCGCCUGGGGAGUACGGUCGCAAGACUG